AUUUUCGGCAAUGGGGGCAACCCUGACCGCGCGACGCCGCGUGAGUGAAGAAGGUCUUCUGAUCGUAAAUCAUUGUUGUAGGGGAAGAACCGUACCAGUAGGGAAUGACUGGUACCUGACGGCACCUUACCAGCAAGCCACGGCUAACUACUUGCCAGCAGCCGCGGUAAUACGUAGGUGGCAAGCGUUAUCCGGAAUUAUUGGGCGUAAAGGGAGCGCAGGCGGCUUAUUAAGUCUGAGGUUAAAGUUCGGGGCUCAACCCCGUGAUGCCUUAGAAACUGGUAGGCUAGAGUGCAGGAGAGGUGAGUGGAAUUCCAUGUGUAGCGGUAAAAUGCGUAGAUAUAUGGAGGAACACCAGUGGCGAAGGCGGCUCACUGGCCUGUAACUGACGCUGAGGCUCGAAAGCGUGGGGAGCAAAU
This 419-nucleotide ribosomal RNA is filed under the name uncultured bacterium. RNAcentral describes it as "partial 16S ribosomal RNA". It matches the Rfam family "Bacterial small subunit ribosomal RNA", at positions 361 to 773 of the family's 1533-position model. The record is from RNAcentral.